CAUAAAGUUCAUUCAAAUUACGUGUUGUAUCAAAAAUGUUCCACCUACCCACAACCAUAUGCUAUCAAUCAAUUUACGUGGCAUUGGACUGACGUUCGUCGCGCCUGAGUAUUAGGCAACCAACUUUCACGAUGUGACUUAUUAAGGCCUUAAUUCAGAAGAUCUACACUGCAAUUUAAUCUUCGAUAAUGGACAAACUCUUACGACCAGAAAGAUUUAAACCCGAUCCUAGAGUACUCAAAAUGCCACCAAAGAAUGGAGCCAUUGAAAAGUUCACUUUCGAGAACUUUACUUUAUCGCUUCUGUAGAGAAAACCGAAGACAUUUUCUCUCCUCGUAAGCAGUAACAAGGUGAAUCCGUAAGUCCUUAGUCCAGUCAGUUCCUUUCAAAAGCUGAGCAAGGGAUGUAUGUAACUUUAAAGGUCAACGCUUUCGCUCAAAACGUUCAGAGUACCUAGUGCCAUCCGCAAAAAAUAUUGAUAGGGCUUUGUUAGCAUGGUAGGGCAUGUCUUGAAGAGAAAAGGCACUAGAAUGGAACCUUGUGGGGGGACUCCUUAUUUCAAAUUGGCCGUGCUAGUUAUUUGGCCAUCUUAAAAUUCCGAAAUUAGUCGAAAAAUCGUAGGCAAAUUCGAAAAAGUGUAGAGUGGUGUCCUCUAUUACAAUUAAAAGCAAUCUUGGCUGACAACCGAUUGGUUGGGAAUGGGGGGGUGUGGUAGCACUUGCAGAUGUGUUCCACACUGACUCCCUGUACUGCGCAAACGCAAGCGCGCUAAAAUUUGAAUUUGUGUAAAGCUGUCAAGUGUAACGGGUAAAUAAUAUACCUUCACAUAACCUGCAAACGUAAUAAUUGAAGAUAAUUUUAGCUUACCUGCUUACCUAUUAUAUGUAGUAGGUAUAUGAAAAUGCCAUGUUAUAAAGAUGAAUUUUGUUGUUAUCUACAUUUGGAGUGCAUGGUCAUAGAAUAUGCCAAAGGCGAUACAAUAUUAGGAAACUGCUUCGCAAUAACGUUACAGACCAACAUUGACCUAUGGUAAAGAGAGAGUCCGGUGCUGAACGAAUCACAAAAAACCAGACUACAAGGAUCAUGACUGAUAGCUAAAGUGGAGUAGUGACCGAACGCUUUAAUUCGAGAAGAAG
This is a long non-coding RNA of Photinus pyralis (common eastern firefly), 1136 nucleotides long. RefSeq lists it as uncharacterized. The transcript has 4 exons. NCBI's taxonomy places the organism in Eukaryota, Metazoa, Arthropoda, Insecta, Coleoptera, Lampyridae. The record is from RefSeq and is a predicted model, not a curated record.